This 524-nucleotide ribosomal RNA is filed under the name uncultured bacterium. RNAcentral describes it as "partial 16S ribosomal RNA". It matches the Rfam family "Bacterial small subunit ribosomal RNA", at positions 29 to 523 of the family's 1533-position model. The record is from RNAcentral.
AACGAACGCUGGCGGCGUGCCUAAUACAUGCAAGUCGAGCGCAGGAAAUCGAUGGAACCCUUCGGGGGGAAGUCGAUGGAAUGAGCGGCGGACGGGUGAGUAACACGUAAAGAACCUGCCCUCAGGUCUGGGAUAACCACGAGAAAUCGGGGCUAAUACCGGAUGGGUCAUCGGACCGCAUGGUCCGAGGAUGAAAGGCGCUUCGGCGUCGCCUGGGGAUGGCUUUGCGGUGCAUUAGCUAGUUGGUGGGGUAAUGGCCCACCAAGGCGACGAUGCAUAGCCGACCUGAGAGGGUGAUCGGCCACACGGGGACUGAGAAACGGCCCAGACUCCUACGGGAGGCAGCAGUAGGGAAUCUUCCACAAGGGACGAAAGUCUGAUGGAGCAACGCCGCGUGAACGAUGAAGGCCUUCGGGUCGUAAAGUUCUGUUGUAAGGGAAGAACAAGUGCCGCAGGCAAUGGCGGCACCUUGACGGUACCUUGCGAGAAAGCCACGGCUAACUACGUGCCAGCCGCCGCCGUAA